CUAAGGAUGGUUCUUCAGAAGCUUGCUUCUAUUGAACCGUUUUAGAAACAUCAGUGGCCAACGGUCGUCAGGAUCGUUGAGCUGCAUUGGCGGGAUUUCGCCGUCUUCGUUUCUCUUUCUUCGCGGACGAACACGCGCUGGGGCUGCAACCUUGCAGAAUCCCUGGUCCUUGACUGGAUAUGCGUUAGGGGCUUGUAGCUCAGUUGGUUAGAGCGCGCGCUUGAUAAGCGUGAGGUCGGAAGUUCAAGUCUUCCCAGGCCCACCACACUCAUCGAGUGAGCAUUCGUCUUCUGGUUACGGGGCCAUAGCUCAGCUGGGAGAGCGCGUGCUUUGCAAGCAUGAGGUCGUCGGUUCGAUCCCGUCUGGCUCCACCAGAUGGUUUGAUCACCGGCUGCUCAUACCGUCGUCCGCGAAACAUCACUUCGCACUUACUAGUCCGGAUGGACAGUAAGCUGCGUGAUUUCUGACAUCGUAAAGAGGAGAUCGAUCCGAGUUGGAUCGGGCAACAAGUAAUUGUUGCGCGAUACUUCAUUAUCUCCGGAUCAUUUCGGCGCUCGUGCGUCUUCCAUUGUAGCUCACAAGGCUGCUUUGAAAGACAAGCGAGUUGUAAAUGAUCCUUUUAGCGAAGCUUGACCGCCUCGCUAUCGGAACGAUCUUACGAAGCAAGCUGGUCUUUCUAAUCAUUGUCCGGCUGCAGAUAGCGUUCAUCGAGGGCGCGUGCCGCAAGGUAGUUCUGCAGACAACAUUCUGCCGAGUGUGUGGACAUUGAUAAUGAGAGC
RNAcentral lists this transfer RNA (779 nucleotides) under Bradyrhizobium japonicum. RNAcentral's name for it is "16S-23S ribosomal RNA intergenic spacer". The stretch from base 189 to 262 matches the Rfam family "tRNA". The record is from RNAcentral. Lineage: Bacteria; Pseudomonadati; Pseudomonadota; Alphaproteobacteria; Hyphomicrobiales; Nitrobacteraceae.